GGACCCGCACAAGCGGUGGAGCAUGUUCUUUAAUUCGAUGAUACGCGAGAAACCUUACCAGCCCUUGACAUACGUAUUUUACUUUCUGGAGACAGAUUGUUUCGGUUCGGCCGGGUACGUACAGGUGUUGCAUGGCCGUCGUCAGCUCGUGUCGUGAGAUGUUGGGUUAAGUCCCGCAACGAGCGCAACCCCUAUUUUUAGUUGCUACCAUUUAGUUGAGCACUCUAAAGAGACUGCCGAUGAUAAAUCGGAGGAAGGUGGGGAUGACGUCAGGUCAUCAUGGCCCUUACGGGCUGGGCUAGAAACGUGCUACAAUGGCGACUACAAAGGGCUGCGAGGCAGUGAUGCCAAGCCAAUCCCUAAAAGUCGUCUCAGUUCAGAUUGCAGGCUGCAAUUCGCCUGCAUGAAGUUGGAAUCGCUAGUAAUCGUGGAUCAGCAUGCCACGGUGAAUACGUUCCCGGGUCUU
This 466-nucleotide ribosomal RNA is filed under the name uncultured bacterium. RNAcentral describes it as "bacterial SSU rRNA". It matches the Rfam family "Bacterial small subunit ribosomal RNA", at positions 917 to 1382 of the family's 1533-position model. The record is from RNAcentral.